GGGGUUGUACUGGUUUCGACGGGGUUUUAGAAGUUAGGAUAGCCACCCGUGGACUAGGACCACGUAAAAACUUAGAAAUUAAAUAUAAACGCAAACGAAAAUUUAGCGUACGCUGCCUAGUGGCAGCUGUCGACCUUAAGUCACUCGCUGCUUAAGAGUUCGGCAUCGACUUUGCGAGGCACUCUUUUACCAAAGCUUUGAGGUAUCAGAAGAAUUUAUGAAGCUACUAAGUUCGUAAGCCUGUCUGUGGGCGUAUGAAUGAGGGAAUGUUAAAACAUAGACUGUGGUGGAAGAAGUCUUAAUGGAAGAGGCUUCGGACAGGGGUUCGAUUCCCCUCAGCUCCAUUU
Molecule: non-coding RNA, 347 nt
Organism: Eubacterium sp. CAG:603
Lineage: Bacteria; Bacillati; Bacillota; Clostridia; Eubacteriales; Eubacteriaceae
Rfam family: transfer-messenger RNA
About the family: Bacterial tmRNA, also known as 10Sa RNA or SsrA, is named for its dual tRNA and mRNA-like properties. Its role is to liberate the mRNA from a stalled ribosome. To accomplish this part of the tmRNA is used as a reading frame that ends in a translation stop signal.
Source: Rfam